RNAcentral lists this ribosomal RNA (1211 nucleotides) under metagenome. RNAcentral describes it as "bacterial SSU rRNA". It matches the Rfam family "Bacterial small subunit ribosomal RNA", at positions 196 to 1411 of the family's 1533-position model. The record is from RNAcentral.
AAUGACGAAAGGACUGGCGGUAUGGGAUGGGGAUGCGUCUGAUUAGCUUGUUGGCGGGGUAACGGCCCACCAAGGCGACGAUCAGUAGGGGUUCUGAGAGGAAGGUCCCCCACAUUGGAACUGAGACACGGUCCAAACUCCUACGGGAGGCAGCAGUGAGGAAUAUUGGUCAAUGGGCGCAAGCCUGAACCAGCCAAGUAGCGUGAGGGAAGACUGCCCUACGGGUUGUAAACCUCUUUUGUUUGGGAAUAAAGUGCGGGACGCGUCCCGCAUUGCAUGUACCAUUUGAAUAAGGACCGGCUAAUUCCGUGCCAGCAGCCGCGGUAAUACGGAAGGUCCGGGCGUUAUCCGGAUUUAUUGGGUUUAAAGGGAGCGCAGGCCGUGGGUUAAGCGUGUCGUGAAAUUCCGUCGCUCAACGGCGGACGUGCGGCGCGAACUGGUCCACUUGAGUACGCGGGACGUUGGCGGAAUUCGUGGUGUAGCGGUGAAAUGCUUAGAUAUCACGAAGAACUCCGAUUGCGAAGGCAGCUGACGGUAGCGCAACUGACGCUGAGGCUCGAAAGUGCGGGUAUCGAACAGGAUUAGAUACCCUGGUAGUCCGCACGGUAAACGAUGGAUGCCCGCUAUUCGCCCACCUGGGCGAGUGGCCAAGCGAAAGCGUUAAGCAUCCCACCUGGGGAGUACGCCGGCAACGGUGAAACUCAAAGGAAUUGACGGGGGCCCGCACAAGCGGAGGAACAUGUGGUUUAAUUCGAUGAUACGCGAGGAACCUUACCCGGGCUUGAAUUGCAGAGGAAGGAUUUAGAGAUAAUGACGCCCUUCGGGGCCUCUGUGAAGGUGCUGCAUGGUUGUCGUCAGCUCGUGCCGUGAGGUGUCGGCUUAAGUGCCAUAACGAGCGCAACCCCUCUCCGUAGUUGCCAUCGGGUGAUGCCGGGCACUCUGCGGACACUGCCACCGUAAGGUGUGAGGAAGGUGGGGAUGACGUCAAAUCAGCACGGCCCUUACGUCCGGGGCUACACACGUGUUACAAUGGGGCAUACAGAGCGCCGGCGGCCGGCAACGUCCGUCCAAUCGCAAAAGUGUCCCCCAGUUCGGACUGGGGUCUGCAACCCGACCCCACGAAGCUGGAUUCGCUAGUAAUCGCGCAUCAGCCAUGGCGCGGUGAAUACGUUCCCGGGCCUUGUACACACCGCCCGUCAAGCCAUGAAAGC